CCUACGGGUGGCUGCAGUGGGGAAUAUUGGGCAAUGGGCGCAAGCCUGACCCAGCAACGCCGCGUGAAGGAAGAAGGCUUUCGGGUUGUAAACUUCUUUUCUCAGGGACUAAGAAAGUGACGGUACCUAAGUAAUAAGCCAAGGCUAACUACGUGCCAGCAGCCGCGGUAAUACGUAGGUUGCAAGCGUUAUCCGGAUUUACUGGGUGUAAAGGUCGUGUAGGCGGGACUGCAAGUCAGAUGUGAAAACCACGGGCUAAACCUGUGGCCUGCAUUUGAAAAUGUAGUUCUUGAGUACUGGAGAGGCAGACGGAAUUCCUAGGGUAGCGGUGAAAUGCGUAGAUAUUAGGAGGAACACCAGUGGCGAAGGCGGUCUGCUGGACAGCAACUGACGCUGAGGCGCGAAAGCGUGGGGAGCAAACAGGAUUAGAUACCCUUGUAGUC
RNAcentral lists this ribosomal RNA (443 nucleotides) under uncultured bacterium. RNAcentral describes it as "partial 16S ribosomal RNA". It matches the Rfam family "Bacterial small subunit ribosomal RNA", at positions 338 to 795 of the family's 1533-position model. The record is from RNAcentral.